GCACCUGCAACAGCUGUGCUCAGCCAAGUCAGACUGCUGGGACCGGCGCCUCCUUCCCACCGCGACCUCCGUUUCCCUGACGUUCUUAGCAGCCUCCAGUCCUGGUGGUCAGCAGAGGCCUUAGCAGGACGAGGAGGAGGAGGCCUGUUGGCACCAGACCAAUGCUGCGAGGUGUGUGAGGAUUAGAACCGCUCCAUCCCUCAGCUGCCAGACCUGGAAAGCAGGAUGGAGCUGGAGUGAGGCGGAGGGGCUGCCAGCUGCUGACCGGCACGUGAGACGCUGGUGAUUCGUGGGUCACUGAGGUAGGUGUGCCACUGGGCUGGUGAGGGCAGCUGGGCCGGGAUGCUUGGGGCCGAGGCAGAUGUGUCGUGACUGGGUGACAGGUGCUAA
RNAcentral lists this long non-coding RNA (390 nucleotides) under Sus scrofa (pig). RNAcentral's name for it is "lncRNA (ENSSSCG00070001409.1)". The record is from RNAcentral. Lineage: Eukaryota; Metazoa; Chordata; Mammalia; Artiodactyla; Suidae.